RNAcentral lists this unclassified non-coding RNA (233 nucleotides) under plant metagenome. RNAcentral's name for it is "partial contains small subunit ribosomal RNA, internal transcribed spacer 1, and 5.8S ribosomal RNA". The record is from RNAcentral.
UUUCCGUAGGUGAACCUGCGGAAGGAUCAUUAUUGGAUUUUGAAACUUCAGGCUGCUGCUUGCUCUCCUCGGAGGGCAUGUGCACGCUUGUUGUCCAUUAUUUCUCCCACUGUGCACAAAUUGUAGACCUUUCAGUAGGCCUAUGUUGUUUUUCACAAUCUCUGAAUGUAAUAGAAUGGUUUUGAAUCUUGGGAAAUACAAUACAACUUUCAGCAACGGAUCUCUUGGCUCUC